GUAGGUUAAGGUAGGGUAGGUUAAGGUAGGGGUUAUAUCUGGAUAGUGUAGGUUAGGGUAGGUUAAGGUAGGGUAGGUUAAGGUAGGUUAAGGUGGGGUAGGUUAAGGUAGGGUAGGUUAAGGUAGGGUAGGUUAAGGUAGGGUAGGUUAAGGUAGGGGUUAUAUCUGGAUAGUGUAGGUUAAGGUAGGUUAAGGUAGUGUAGGUUAAGGUAGGGUAGGUUAAGGUAGGUUAAGGUAGGGUAGGUUAAGGUAGGGGUUAUAUCUGGAUAGUGUAGGUUAAGGUAGGUUAAGG
Oncorhynchus masou masou (cherry salmon) is the source of this 292-nucleotide long non-coding RNA. RefSeq lists it as uncharacterized. The record is from RefSeq and is a predicted model, not a curated record. NCBI's taxonomy places the organism in Eukaryota, Metazoa, Chordata, Actinopteri, Salmoniformes, Salmonidae. The transcript is spliced from 3 exons.